GGGGAUGAAAGGAUUUCGACGGGGAUUAAGAAAUAUCAUAAGCAUGCGGCAGCGCACGACUGCCUCAAAAACGGGCGCUUAAAUUUUAAAGGACAAAAACGAAACUGUUCUUUGCGCUGCUUAAUUAAAUAGCAGCGCCGUUCGGCCGAGGCACCGCGACUCGGGGUCCGGGCGUCACCAGCGGUAAAGGUGCACAGGUGAGUGGCUCGUAGCCUGUCAUCAAUCAGAGCCUACCGAUUCUCUCAGCUUGUUUGUGAGCGGUGAGAAAAGGGAAUGCUAAAGCAUAAACUAAGCAUGUAGAAAGUGGUAUGGGCGAAUUUUCGGACGCGGUUUCGAUUACCGCCAUCUCCACCA
This 354-nucleotide transfer-messenger RNA is filed under the name bovine gut metagenome. It matches the Rfam family "transfer-messenger RNA". From Rfam's summary of the family: Bacterial tmRNA, also known as 10Sa RNA or SsrA, is named for its dual tRNA and mRNA-like properties. Its role is to liberate the mRNA from a stalled ribosome. To accomplish this part of the tmRNA is used as a reading frame that ends in a translation stop signal. The record is from RNAcentral.